CUUCCGUAGGGUGAACCUGCGGAGGGAUCAUUACCGAGUUAUACAACUCAUCAACCCUGUGAACAUACCUAUAACGUUGCGCUCGGCGGGAACAGACGGCCCCGUUAACACGGGCCGCCCCCGCCAGUAGGACCCCCUAACUCUGUUUCUAUAAUGUUUCUUCUGAGUAAACAAGCAAAUAAAUUAAAACUUUCAACAACGGAUCUCUUGGCUCUGGCAUCGAUGAAGAACGCAGGCGUAAAUGCGAUAAGUAAUGUGAAUUGCAGAAUUCAGUGAAUCAUCGAAUCUUUGAACGCACAUUGCGCCCGCCAGUAUUCUGGCGGGCAUGCCUGUUCGAGCGUCAUUACAACCCUCAGGCCCCCGGGCCUGGCGUUGGGGAUCGGCGGAAGCCCCCUGCGGGCACAACGCCGUCCCCCAAAUACAGUGGCGGUCCCGCCGCAGCUUCCAUUGCGUAGUAGCUAACACCUCGCAACUGGAGAGCGGCGCGGCCACGCCGUAAAACACCCAACUUCUGAAUGUUGACCUCGAAUCAUGUUGGAAUACGACCGCUGCCCUUAAGCAUAUCAAUAAG
RNAcentral lists this ribosomal RNA (571 nucleotides) under Fusarium solani. RNAcentral's name for it is "eukaryotic LSU rRNA". The stretch from base 188 to 343 matches the Rfam family "5.8S ribosomal RNA". The record is from RNAcentral. Lineage: Eukaryota; Fungi; Ascomycota; Sordariomycetes; Hypocreales; Nectriaceae.